Molecule: ribosomal RNA, 468 nt
Filed under: uncultured bacterium
Lineage: Bacteria
Description: partial 16S ribosomal RNA
Rfam family: Bacterial small subunit ribosomal RNA
Source: RNAcentral
GACGAACGCUGGCGGCGUGCUUAACACAUGCAAGUCGAACGGAAAGGCCCUGCUUUUGUUGGGUGCUCGAGUGGCGAACGGGUGAGUAACACGUGAGUAACCUGCCCUUGACUUUGGGAUAACUUCAGGAAACUGGGGCUAAUACCGGAUAGGAGCUCCUGCUGCAUGGUGGGGGUUGGAAAGUUUCGGCGGUUGGGGAUGGACUCGCGGCUUAUCAUCUUUUUGGUGGGGUAGUGGCUUACCAAGGCUUUGACGGGUAGCCGGCCUGAGAGGGUGACCGGCGACAUUGGGACUGAGAGACGGACCAGAGUGCAACGGGAGGCAGCAGUGGGGAAUAUUGCACAAUGGGCGGAAGCGUGAUGAAGAAACGCCGCGUGCGGGAUGAAGGCCUUCGGGUUGAAAACCGCUUUGGCAUGUGACGAAGCGUGAGUGACGGUAAUGGGUAAAGAAGCACCGGCUAACUACGUG